This 1002-nucleotide ribosomal RNA is filed under the name Triticum aestivum (bread wheat). RNAcentral's name for it is "partial small subunit ribosomal RNA". The record is from RNAcentral. Lineage: Eukaryota; Viridiplantae; Streptophyta; Magnoliopsida; Poales; Poaceae.
AUGGCGGCGGCGGCGCCGGAGAUAAGGCACCGGCAGGUGGAGGCGAACGGCAUCACGAUGCACGUCGCCGAGGCCGGCCCGGCCUCCGCCGCGGCCCUCGCGGUGCUCUUCGUGCACGGCUUCCCGGAGCUCUGGUACUCGUGGCGCCACCAGAUGGAGCACCUGGCGGCCCGGGGCUACCGCUGCGUGGCCCCCGACCUCCGCGGCUACGGGGGCACCUCCGUGCCGCCCGACCCCGCCUCCUACACCGCCUUCCACGUCGUCGGCGACCUCGUCGCGCUCCUCGACGCCCUCCGCCUCCGCCAGGUGUUCGUGGUGGGGCACGACUGGGGCGCCAUCGUGUCGUGGAACCUCUGCCUGCUGCGGCCGGACCGGGUGCGCGCGCUCGUCAACCUCAGCGUCGCCUUCAACCCCCGCCACCCCUCCGCCAAGCCCCUCGACUACUUCCGCCGCGCCUACGGCGACGACUACUACGUCUGCAAAUUCCAGGAACCUGGAUAUGAAGCACAAUUUGCUAGUCUUGACUUGAAGAGGUUCUUCAAAAUGGCAAUAACUGUUCAAACCACAGGUUCUUCUGCUAUGUCCCUUAAAAAAAUGCAGUCAAGCAACAAGCAAAUAACACUGCCUUCUUGGCUCUCCGAGGAGGAUGUCAGUUACCUAGCAAGUGUAUACGCAAAAACUGGCUUUGCUGGUGGCCUUAAUUACUACCGCUGUCUAGACCUGAACUGGGAGCUGAUGGCGCCAUGGACUGGAGCGAAAGUGCAAGUGCCGACCAAGUUCAUCGUCGGGGACGGUGACCUGGCAUACCAUCACCCAGGAGUCAAAGGCUACAUACACAAGGGUGGGCUCAAGAGAGACGUGCCCAUGCUCGACGAGGUGGUGGUGAUCAAAGGUGCCGGGCACUUCAUCCAGCAGGAGAGAGCACAGGAGAUCAGUGAACACAUCUAUGAAUACAUCAAGAAGUUCAGCACAGACCCGACACGGGAAUUAUCGAAAUUGUGA